RNAcentral lists this ribosomal RNA (208 nucleotides) under uncultured bacterium. RNAcentral describes it as "partial 16S ribosomal RNA". It matches the Rfam family "Bacterial small subunit ribosomal RNA", at positions 568 to 774 of the family's 1533-position model. The record is from RNAcentral.
AGCGUAGACGGACUGGCAAGUCUGAUGUGAAAGGCGGGGGGCUCAACCCCUGGACUGCAUUGGAAACUGUUAGUCUUGAGUGCCGGAGAGGUAAGCGGAAUUCCUAGUGUAGCGGUGAAAUGCGUAGAUAUUAGGAGGAACACCAGUGGCGAAGGCGGCUUACUGGACGGUAACUGACGUUGAGGCUCGAAAGCGUGGGGAGCAAACA